This 364-nucleotide unclassified non-coding RNA is filed under the name Zea mays. RNAcentral describes it as "misc RNA Zm00001eb096660". Lineage: Eukaryota; Viridiplantae; Streptophyta; Magnoliopsida; Poales; Poaceae. The record is from RNAcentral.
CACACAGGAAGGAAACCGAGUCACAAGGCAUGGAGGGAAUGCCCCGCGGCAUCUGCUACAGCGCGCCAUGGGAGAGGGCUACGCCUGCGAGGAGAGGCGGGGCGAGCUGCUGCUGUGUCCCGCCAUGAGGGGGAGAUGGAGCUCAGCUCCCUGUUUGCUGCACGCCGUGGACAGCAGGGGGAGGAAGAAGACCCGGCUGCUGUUGCGCGAGGGAGAACGAGUAAGGGAAAAGAAGGGGCGUCGGCAUGGGGGAUUUUUCUUGGCGUCCGUGGGAGGGAGCUGCUGCGUCGCCAUGGACAGGGAGGCAGCGCCAUGAGGAAACUCGAGCUCGAGCCAUGGGAAAGGGAAGGGAGCUCGCUGGGGC